AGAGUUUGAUCAUGGCUCAGGAUGAACGCUGGCGGCGUGCUUAACACAUGCAAGUCGAACGAUCCUUCGGGAUAGUGGCGGACGGGUGAGUAACGCGUGGGAAUCUGCCCUUAGGAGGGGGAUAACGGCUGGAAACGGCCGCUAAUACCCCAUAUGCCGAGAGGUGAAACGAAUUUCGCCUGAGGAUGAGCCCGCGUCUGAUUAGCUAGUUGGUGGGGUAAAGGCCUACCAAGGCGACGAUCAGUAGCUGGUCUGAGAGGAUGAUCAGCCACACUGGGACUGAGACACGGCCCAGACUCCUACGGGAGGCAGCAGUGGGGAAUUUUCCGCAAUGGGCGAAAGCCUGACGGAGCAACGCCGCGUGAGGGAUGAAGGCCUCUGGGCUGUAAACCUCUUUUCUCAAGGAAGAAGAACUGACGGUACUUGAGGAAUAAGCCACGGCUAAUUCCGUGCCAGCAGCCGCGGUAAUACGGGAGUGGCAAGCGUUAUCCGGAAUUAUUGGGCGUAAAGCGUCCGCAGGCGGCCUUGUAAGUCUGUUGUUAAAGCGUGGAGCUCAACUCCAUUUAAGCAAUGGAAACUACAAGGCUGGAGUGUGGUAGGGGCAGAGGGAAUUCCCGGUGUAGCGGUGAAAUGCGUAGAUAUCGGGAAGAACACCAGUGGCGAAGGCGCUCUGCUGGGCCAUAACUGACGCUCAUGGACGAAAGCCAGGGGAGCGAAAGGGAUUAGAUACCCCUGUAGUCCUGGCCGUAAACGAUGAACACUAGGUGUCGGGGGAAUCGACCCCCUCGGUGUCGUAGCCAACGCGUUAAGUGUUCCGCCUGGGGAGUACGCACGCAAGUGUGAAACUCAAAGGAAUUGACGGGGGCCCGCACAAGCGGUGGAGUAUGUGGUUUAAUUCGAUGCAACGCGAAGAACCUUACCAGGGUUUGACAUCCUGCGAAUCCCUUGGAAACGAGGGAGUGCCUUCGGGAGCGCAGUGACAGGUGGUGCAUGGCUGUCGUCAGCUCGUGUCGUGAGAUGUUGGGUUAAGUCCCGCAACGAGCGCAACCCACGUCUUUAGUUGCCAGCAUUCAGUUGGGCACUCUAGAGAGACCGCCGGUGAUAAACCGGAGGAAGGUGUGGAUGACGUCAAGUCAUCAUGCCCCUUACAUCCUGGGCUACACACGUACUACAAUGCUACGGACAAAGGGCAGCAAGCUCGCGAGAGUUAGCAAAUCCCAUAAACCGUGGCUCAGUUCAGAUCGUAGGCUGCAACUCGCCUACGUGAAGGAGGAAUCGCUAGUAAUCGCAGGUCAGCAUACUGCGGUGAAUACGUUCCCGGGCCUUGUACACACCGCCCGUCACACCAUGGAAGUUGGCCAUGCCCGAAGUCGUUACUCCAACCCUUGUGGAGGAGGACGCCGAAGGUAGGGCUGAUGACUGGGGUGAAGUCGUAACAAGGUA
Molecule: ribosomal RNA, 1443 nt
Filed under: metagenome
Description: bacterial SSU rRNA
Rfam family: Bacterial small subunit ribosomal RNA
Source: RNAcentral